UGGGCUUGACAUCUCCGGAAUCCUGCAGAGAUGCGGGAGUGCCCUUCGGGGACUCGGAACAC
Molecule: ribosomal RNA, 62 nt
Filed under: uncultured organism
Description: partial 16S ribosomal RNA
Source: RNAcentral